UCUAAGCCUAAGCCUAAGCCUAAGCCUAAGUCUAAGCCUAAGUCUAAGCCUAAGUCUAAGUCUAAGUCUAAGUCUAAGUCUAAGUCUAAG
Molecule: non-coding RNA, 90 nt
Organism: Caenorhabditis elegans
Lineage: Eukaryota; Metazoa; Nematoda; Chromadorea; Rhabditida; Rhabditidae
Source: Ensembl